Molecule: long non-coding RNA, 788 nt
Filed under: Numida meleagris (helmeted guineafowl)
Lineage: Eukaryota; Metazoa; Chordata; Aves; Galliformes; Numididae
Description: lncRNA (ENSNMEG00000000171.1)
Source: RNAcentral
AUGCUCUUAAAGGAUCCUGGGUGCACAAUAGCUUCAGGGAGGUCUGAAGGUGAAGUUCUGGGCUGUGACUCUCAGAAUAAAACCAGGCAUUUUACUGCUUUGUUUCUGUGCAAAUGGACCUUCCUACCCUAUGGCUGUGCUCCAAGGUGCUAGCACUGGUGGAAUCCUCACCCAUUCAAAGCAGGGAAUUUUUUGCCUGUUGGUAGGAUAGGGGAGAUUUCUCUUCCACAGGCCUUUGAAUAUCUUGUGUAAAUCAGUAAAAUGUCAAGUAUGCUAUUAAAACAUUGAUCCUUCACUAAAAAGGUUUUAUUUUUGCUUAUAUUUUCUUUGAGUGGUUAUGAUUUCUAGAGAACCUACUGGAAUAGCUCCUACUGAAUUCAGCGCAUACAAGAUCAGACUUGUUGGGCUGUUUGUUCCAGGGCAUAGAAUACUUUUGUUUCUUCUGUGAUUUCCUGGUAAGGUGAUUUUUGUUUGACACAGAAACAAUAUUUUCCAAUCACAUUUCCAUUUGUAUCUAUUAAUUCACUACAGCAAACUUCCAAACUAGCCCCUGCUGUUUCCUGACCUUUGACCAAAUGUUCUGAUAAUUUCCUUAUUGACAGUAAGUAGAUGCAGAAUUUCAGAUAGUACUACCUUUGUAACAAGGAUUGCAUUUGGUAUAUUUUCUUCUUUUUUUUUCAUCAGGGACUGUUCUGAUUCUGUAGGAGUUUUUUUUAUGAGUGAAAAAAAUAGCACAGAAGAUGAAUUGCUUCAUUAAUAAAAAAAGUCAUGACAUGAAUGUGUAACCA